UACGUAGGGGGCAAGCGUUAUCCGGAUUUACUGGGUGUAGAGGGAGCGUAGACGGCUUUGCAAGCCAGAUGUGAAAGCCCGGGGCUCAACCCCGGGACUGCAUUUGGAACUGUGUGGCUAGAGUGUCGGAGAGGCAGGCGGAAUUCCUAGUGUAGCGGUGAAAUGCGUAGAUAUUAGGAGGAACACCAGUGGCGAAGGCGACUUGCUGGGCCAUUACUGACGCUGAGGCACGAAAGCGUGGGGAGCAAAUAGG
RNAcentral lists this ribosomal RNA (253 nucleotides) under uncultured bacterium. RNAcentral describes it as "partial 16S ribosomal RNA". It matches the Rfam family "Bacterial small subunit ribosomal RNA", at positions 524 to 776 of the family's 1533-position model. The record is from RNAcentral.